GGUGGAGCAUGUGGUUUAAUUCGAAGCAACGCGAAGAACCUUACCUACUCUUGAAAUCCAGUGAACUUAGCAGAGAUGCUUUGGUGCCUUCGGGAACACUGAGACAGGUGCUGCAUGGCUGUCGUCAGCUCGUGUUGUGAAAUGUUGGGUUAAGUCCCGUAACGAGCGCAACCCCUAUCCUUAUUUGCCAGCGAGUGAUGUCGGGGACUAUAAGGAGACUGCCGGUGACAAACCGGAGGAAGGCGGGGAUGACGUCAAGUCAUCAUGGCCCUUACGAGUAGGGCUACACACGUGCUACAAUGGACGGUACAGAGAGUCGCGAGACCG
Molecule: ribosomal RNA, 327 nt
Filed under: Diacronema lutheri
Lineage: Eukaryota; Haptophyta; Pavlovophyceae; Pavlovales; Pavlovaceae
Description: partial Bacterial small subunit ribosomal RNA
Rfam family: Bacterial small subunit ribosomal RNA
Source: RNAcentral